AAUAGAUACCCAGGUAGUCCACGCCGUAAACGAUGUCGACUUGGAGGUUGUUCCCUUGAGGAGUGGCUUCCGGAGCUAACGCGUUAAGUCGACCGCCUGGGGAGUACGGCCGCAAGGUUAAAACUCAAAUGAAUUGACGGGGGCCCGCACAAGCGGUGGAGCAUGUGGUUUAAUUCGAUGCAACGCGAAGAACCUUACCUACUCUUGACAUCCAGAGAACUUAGCAGAGAUGCUUUGGUGCCUUCGGGAACUCUGAGACAGGUGCUGCAUGGCUGUCGUCAGCUCGUGUUGUGAAAUGUUGGGUUAAGUCCCGCAACGAGCGCAACCCUUAUCCUUUGUUGCCAGCGGUUCGGCCGGGAACUCAAAGGAGACUGCCAGUGAUAAACUGGAGGAAGGUGGGGAUGACGUCAAGUCAUCAUGGCCCUUACGAGUAGGGCUACACACGUGCUACAAUGGCGUAUACAAAGAGAAGCGACCUCGCGAGAGCAAGCGGACCUCAUAAAGUACGUCGUAGUCCGGAUUGGAGUCUGC
Molecule: ribosomal RNA, 531 nt
Filed under: uncultured bacterium
Lineage: Bacteria
Description: bacterial SSU rRNA
Rfam family: Bacterial small subunit ribosomal RNA
Source: RNAcentral